AUUGAACGCUGGCGGCAUGCCUUACACAUGCAAGUCGAACGGUAACAGGUUAAGCUGACGAGUGGCGAGCGGGUGAGUAAUGUAUCGGAACGUGCCCAGUCGUGGGGGAUAACUGCUCGAAAGAGCAGCUAAUACCGCAUACGACCUGAGGGUGAAAGCGGGGGAUCGCAAGACCUCGCGCGAUUGGAGCGGCCGAUAUCAGAUUAGGUAGUUGGUGAGGUAAAGGCUCACCAAGCCGACGAUCUGUAGCUGGUCUGAGAGGACGACCAGCCACACUGGGACUGAGACACGGCCCAGACUCCUACGGGAGGCAGCAGUGGGGAAUUUUGGACAAUGGGCGCAAGCCUGAUCCAGCCAUGCUGCGUGCGGGAAGAAGGCCUUCGGGUUGUAAACCGCUUUUGUCAGGGAAGAAAAGGUUCUGGCUAAUACCUGGGACUCAUGACGGUACCUGAAGAAUAAGCACCGGCUAACUACGUG
Molecule: ribosomal RNA, 477 nt
Filed under: uncultured bacterium
Lineage: Bacteria
Description: partial 16S ribosomal RNA
Rfam family: Bacterial small subunit ribosomal RNA
Source: RNAcentral